UACGUAGGGGGCAAGCGUUGUCCGGAUUUAUUGGGCGUAAAGAGCGUGUAGGCGGCUAGAUAGGUCCGUUGUGAAAACUCGAGGCUCAACCUCGAGACGCCGAUGGAAACCAUCCAGCUAGAGUCCGGAAGAGGAGAGUGGAAUUCCUGGUGUAGCGGUGAAAUGCGCAGAUAUCAGGAAGAACACCCGUGGCGAAGGCGGCUCUCUGGGACGGUACUGACGCUGAGACGCGAAAGCGUGGGGAGCGAACAGG
RNAcentral lists this ribosomal RNA (253 nucleotides) under uncultured bacterium. RNAcentral's name for it is "partial 16S ribosomal RNA". It matches the Rfam family "Bacterial small subunit ribosomal RNA", at positions 524 to 776 of the family's 1533-position model. The record is from RNAcentral.